ACGGAAUAGAUACCCCGGUAGUCCCAGCCGUAAACUAUGCUCGCUAGGUGUCAGGGACGGUGCGACCGUUUCUGGUGCCGUAGGGAAAGCCGUGAAGCGAGCCACCUGGGAAGUACGGUCGCAAGGCUGAAACUUAAAGGAAUUGGCGGGGGAGCACUACAACGGGUGGAGCCUACGGUUUAAUUGGACUCAACGCCGGAAAACUCACCUGGGGCGACAGCAAUAUGUAGGUCAAGCUAAAGACUUUACCAGAAUCGCUGAGAGGAGGUGCAUGGCCGUCGUCAGUUCGUACUGUGAAAGCAUCCUGUUAAGUCAGGCAACGAGCGAGACCCGUGCCCACUGUUGCCAGCAUGUCCUCGGUAGUG
Molecule: ribosomal RNA, 365 nt
Filed under: uncultured bacterium
Lineage: Bacteria
Description: bacterial SSU rRNA
Rfam family: Archaeal small subunit ribosomal RNA
Source: RNAcentral